RNAcentral lists this ribosomal RNA (412 nucleotides) under uncultured Nitrososphaerota archaeon. RNAcentral's name for it is "bacterial SSU rRNA". It matches the Rfam family "Archaeal small subunit ribosomal RNA", at positions 339 to 752 of the family's 1478-position model. The record is from RNAcentral. Lineage: Archaea; Thermoproteati; Nitrososphaerota.
GCGAGAAACCUUUGCAAUGUGCGCAAGCACGACAAGGUUAAUCCGAGUGUUUCCUGCUAAAGGAAUCUUUUGUUAGUCCUGAAAACACUAGCGAAUAAGGGGUGGGCAAGUUCUGGUGUCAGCCGCCGCGGUAAAACCAGCACCUCGAGUGGUCAGGAGGAUUAUUGGGCCUAAAGCAUCCGUAGCCUGCUCUGUAAGUUUCCGGUUAAAUCCAUUAGCUCAACUGAUGGGCCGCCGGAAAAACUGCAAAGCUAGGGAGUGGGAGAGGUAGACGGUACUCGGUAGGAAGGGGUAAAAUCCUUUGAUCUAUUGAUGACCACCUGUGGCGAAGGCGGUCUACCAGAACACGUCCGACGGUGAGGGAUGAAAGCUGGGGGAGCAAACCGGAUUAGAUACCCGGGUAGUCCCAGCU